GACGAACGCUGGCGGCGUGCUUAACACAUGCAAGUCGAACGGAAAGGCCCUGCUUUUGUGGGGUGCUCGAGUGGCGAACGGGUGAGUAACACGUGAGUAACCUGCCCUGGACUUUGGGAUAACUUCAGGAAACUGGGGCUAAUACCGGAUAGGAGCUCCUGCUGCAUGGUGGGGGUUGGAAAGCUUCGGCGGUUGGGGAUGGACUCGCGGCUUAUCAGCUUGUUGGUGGGGUAGUGGCUUACCAAGGCUUUGACGGGUAGCCGGCCUGAGAGGGUGACCGGCCACAUUGGGACUGAGAUACGGCCCAGACUCCUACGGGAGGCAGCAGUGGGGAAUAUUGCACAAUGGGCGGAAGCCUGAUGCAGCAACGCCGCGUGCGGGAUGACGGCCUUCGGGUUGUAAACCGCUUUCGCCUGUGACGAAGCGUGAGUGACGGUAAUGGGUAAAGAAGCACCGGCUAACUACGUG
Molecule: ribosomal RNA, 468 nt
Filed under: uncultured bacterium
Lineage: Bacteria
Description: partial 16S ribosomal RNA
Rfam family: Bacterial small subunit ribosomal RNA
Source: RNAcentral